AUGGCCCAGUGGAACCAGUUACAGCAGCUGGAGACCAGGUAUCUGGAGCAGCUCUACCACUUGUACAGUGACAGCUUCCCCAUGGAGCUGCGUCAGUUCCUUGCCCCCUGGAUUGAGAGUCAGGACUGGGCUUACGCUGCCAAUAAGGAGUCACACGCCACCCUGGUGUUUCACAACCUCUUGGGAGAAAUAGACCAGCAGUAUAGUCGUUUCCUGCAGGAGAACAAUGUACUCUACCAGCAUAACCUGCGUAGGAUUAAACAGCAUCUGCAGAGCAAGUACUUAGAGAAGCCGAUGGAAAUUGCCCGCAUUGUUGCCCGCUGUCUGUGGGAGGAGCAAAGACUGCUGCAGACGGCCACCACAGCUGUACAGGAAGGCCAGGCAGCACAUCCCACGGGCACAGUAGUGACAGAGAAGCAGCAGAUUCUGGAGCACAACCUUCAAGACAUCAGGAAGCGGGUGCAGGAUAUGGAACAGAAGAUGAAAAUGCUUGAGAACUUGCAGGAUGACUUUGACUUCAAUUACAAGACAUUGAAGAGUCAAGGAGAGUUGUCCCAGGACCUAAAUGGGAACAGCCAAGCAGCUGCUACCAGACAGAAGAUGGCUCAGCUCGAGCAGAUGCUAAGUGCACUGGACCAGCUGAGGAGGCAAAUUGUGACAGAGAUGGGAGGCUUGUUGACCGCCAUGGAUUAUGUACAGAAGAACCUGACUGAUGAAGAACUGGCAGACUGGAAGAGAAGGCAGCAAAUUGCCUGUAUUGGAGGACCUCCUAACAUCUGCCUGGACCGCCUCGAAACAUGGAUCACAUCCUUGGCUGAGUCCCAGCUCCAGAUUCGUCAGCAGAUCAAGAAGCUGGAAGAGCUUCAGCAGAAGGUGUCCUACAAAGGAGACCCCAUCAUCCAGCACCGGCCCGCCCUUGAGGAGAAGAUUGUGGACUUGUUCAGAAACCUGAUGAAGAGUGCUUUUGUGGUUGAAAGACAGCCUUGUAUGCCCAUGCAUCCCGACAGACCUCUUGUCAUAAAAACAGGAGUGCAGUUCACAAAUAAAGUGAGGUUACUGGUAAAGUUCCCUGAACUCAAUUACCAGCUGAAAAUUAAAGUUUGCAUUGACAAGGAAUCUGGGGAUGUGGCUGCAAUUCGAGGAUCACGAAAGUUUAACAUCCUUGGUACCAACACAAAAGUUAUGAACAUGGAAGAGUCCAACAAUGGCAGCCUGUCAGCAGAGUUUAAACACUUGACCCUGAGAGAACAGAGGUGUGGUAAUGGUGGCCGGACCAAUAGUGACGCUUCUCUGAUUGUCACAGAAGAGCUCCAUCUUAUCACUUUUGAGACAGAAGUCUAUCAUCAAGGCCUGAAGAUCGAUCUGGAGACUCAUUCCCUGCCUGUGGUAGUCAUUUCUAACAUCUGCCAGAUGCCCAAUGCCUGGGCUUCCAUCCUGUGGUACAACAUGCUCACUAACCACCCAAAGAAUGUGAACUUCUUCACCAAGCCCCCAGUUGGGACAUGGGACCAGGUAGCUGAGGUUCUAAGCUGGCAGUUCUCCUCCACCACCAAGCGAGGCCUGACCAUUGAACAGCUCACCACACUGGCUGAGAAAUUACUAGGGCCAUGUGUCAACUACUCCGGCUGUCAGAUCACUUGGGCCAAGUUCUGUAAGGAAAACAUGGCUGGAAAAGGCUUCUCCUUCUGGGUGUGGCUAGACAAUAUCAUUGACCUGGUGAAGAAGUAUAUCCUGGCACUGUGGAAUGAAGGGUAUAUCAUGGGCUUUAUCAGUAAGGAGAGGGAGAGAGCCAUUCUUAGUCCAAAACCUCCUGGCACUUUUCUGUUGCGCUUCAGUGAAAGCAGCAAGGAGGGCGGCAUUACAUUUACAUGGGUAGAGAAAGACAUCAGUGGAAAGACCCAGAUGCAGUCAGUGGAGCCCUACACCAAGCAGCAGCUCAACAGCAUGUCAUUCGCUGACAUCAUCAUGGGCUACAAGAUCAUGGAUGCCACAAACAUCCUGGUUUCACCUCUCGUGUACCUCUACCCUGAUAUCCCCAAAGACGAAGCUUUUGGUAAAUACUGCAGGCCAGAAGCAGCCCCUGAACCUGAGAUGGGAGGAGACUCUACGAGCACUAUUCAGCCGUACUUGAAGACAAAGUUCAUCUGCGUUACCCCGUAAGUAUCUGUCACUCUUCUCUUCUGUUUUGAGCUCCUCAUUUACAGAAAGAUCUCAUGCCACCUGGUGACCUCCACUUACUGUAUGUCAGCCCUUAUUACUAGCUGUUGAUGUUUACUCUUACAAAGAUGAGUUAUAUUCUGGAAUGUUCCUGUUCCAGUAUCUAAACUUCCUUUUUUUUUUUAAAUUCUAAACGUGACAAGUGUUGCCAAAUGUUCAAAGAAAAAGAACAAAUCUGUUUUUACUCUCACUGUGAGUCAUCACUGUCACUGGAGGAACCGUCAGCCUGUUCUCAGACCAAGCAUUGUGAACACAGAUUAUGUGAAGAUUCAGUUUAGACAGAUUGCAGUUCACACCUGGCAUCAGGUUGUGUCUUCAUUUCUGAUGGGAAUCCAUUUCCAUGCUCAAUAUGCAAUUGUUUGCAUGUAGUUGUGUCUAUCUGAGAUGGAACCAAACCAAAAAGGGGCGACGAGGGUCAGCUGCAUGUUAGUGGGAUAGUCAGAGGAGGGUGUAUGCACAGGCCAGUCCGCCACGUGCGCUUAAGUUGGUAGAGGGUUUGCUGGGGUGCUGGUGGGUUGUAAGGUUUGCUCAGUGAGAUC
This is an RNA transcript of Etheostoma cragini (Arkansas darter), 2756 nucleotides long. It is a transcript of the gene named signal transducer and activator of transcription 3 (acute-phase response factor), with no coding region annotated. Lineage: Eukaryota; Metazoa; Chordata; Actinopteri; Perciformes; Percidae. The transcript has 21 exons. The record is from RefSeq and is a predicted model, not a curated record.